This 497-nucleotide ribosomal RNA is filed under the name uncultured bacterium. RNAcentral describes it as "partial 16S ribosomal RNA". It matches the Rfam family "Bacterial small subunit ribosomal RNA", at positions 28 to 507 of the family's 1533-position model. The record is from RNAcentral.
GAUGAACGCUGGCGGCGUGCCUAACACAUGCAAGUCGAGCGAACAGACGAGGAGUUUGCUCCGCUGACGUUAGCGGCGGACGGGUGAGUAACACGUGGAUAACCUACAUAUAAGACUGGGAUAACGUCGGGAAACCGGAGCUAAGACCGGAUAAUAUAUCGAAACGGAGGGUUCAAGAGUGAAAGAAGGUUUUUGUGUGAAUUAUAGACGGAUCAGCGCCGCAUUAGCUAGUUGGCAAGGUAACGGGUUACCAAGGCAACGACGCGUAGCCGACCUGAGAGGGUGGUCGCCCACCCGGGAGCUUAGACACGGUCCAUACUCCUGCGGGAGGCAGCAGUCGGGAAUCUUCCGCAAUGGGCGAGAGCCUUACAGAGCAACGCCGCGUGAGUUAUGACGGUCUUCGGAUCGUAAAGCUCUGUUAUUAGGGGUGAACAAAUGUGUAAGUAACUGUGCACAUCUUGACGGUACCUGAUCAAAAAGCCACGGCUAACUACGUG